Long non-coding RNA from Bos taurus (domestic cattle), 2262 nucleotides. The record is from Ensembl. Lineage: Eukaryota; Metazoa; Chordata; Mammalia; Artiodactyla; Bovidae.
GCGGUUGGGAUUUUCCAUUACAGGGAUCCGGUAGGUCAUGCCCAGCAUCUGCCCUCCUUCUCUUCCUGGGUUACAGCAGGAAGGGUGAGUGGAAGGGGGCAACUCCCUUCUCUGCACCGGCCCCUCCACCGACCUUGACUUUGGACCUGGGGAGAUCAGGUAGUGGGAGGAAACAACAAGGAGAAAACAGAUCCAAGUUCAAGCCUCGGUGUGUAGAGAGGAGAGUGAGAGAAGUAAUUGAAGAUGCAGCAAGAAGGCUCAUGGUUAGACAACAGGAGGGACUGCCUGAAGAAGUCGAUGAAAGAGAGACCCACAGGUUGGGGGCAGCCUUGCCCUGGGUGGACAAGAGAUGACUUGGGAUUUAGGAAGCAGCCACUCAUCGGUUCCUGGGUCAGAGUGCCCCGGUUAUCUUCUGCAGGACACAAGACCUCCGACUCCAGGACAUCAACCAGAAUAGACGCCACCUGGUCUUUUGAUCUGGGGUGCCUGGUUGGGCUCCUGCUUCCUUUGAACACAGCCAGUGGUGCCAGCAUGGACCAAUGCCCUUGGGGUAAGAAGAGGGAAGCAGAGACCAAGAAAGACUUGAAGGGGACAAGGUUCCAUUCCCGCUCAGGGAACUAAGAUCCCACGUGCCAUGGGGCAGCUAAGCCCGUGCACUACGGCUACUGAGCCCACACUCUAGAAACUGGUGCUACAACUUGAGAAGCCCACGUGCUGCAACAAAGACCCAGUACAGCCAAAAAAGAAGGCGGAGGAUGGCUGAAAGGAGGUUGUGUGGGAGAGAAGGUGCAUGUUGGCCCUGGAGCGUGUUCAGUGUGAGAUGCUGCUGGCAGGCUUUCCAGUUGCUUGGCACAUGUCUGUGGCACUUCUACUCCUUGCCAGGCACUGUACUAGGCCUGGGGGCAGAGCCAAGAAGAGCCAACAGUGGCCUUGAGCAGCUCACAGCCAGGAUGCAGAGGCAGAUAUAAACCAAGGCUGGGAUGACAAUGCAGAGUGGAGAACACCAUCCAAGGUCUGAGAACAGGUGCUGGGAGAGCGGGGGAGGCUGCAUGGGCAUCAGGGCCCCAGGCCCGCUCCCUCCCAUGGCGAGCUCCUGCACCCAUCUGUUUCUUUGUUUUUGUAAUCUUUAUUUCUGGCUUUGUUUUCCCUUUCCUUUCCCAACAGAGAGCCUUUGGAAAAAUUCCACCCUUGUUUCAGUUGGACUAGGGAAAAGGGGACUUGUCCACUCUUCGGCCAGGAGAGCUAAGGGGUGCCAGGUUCCUGGAGAGUCCAGGGCGCUUGGAAACGCCGGGCCUCGGAGGUAGACGCGAGCCUUCCAUACCAUCAGCAGCUCUAGAGGGCUGUGUAAGUGCACUCACGGAAUUCUCACCCCUUCUUCUCUCCCCACCCCACCCCCGCACACAUACACACCUGCCUCUUACUGAUUCCUCUUUUCCCGAGCCUCAGCACUGCCUCCAUUCAUCCAACAGAUAUUUAUUGAACACCCACUGUGUGUCAGGAGCUGGAAAUACACUGGUGGGAAAACACUAUUAUUUCAAAAGUUUGCACAGAUGCCAGGAGAGAGUGUGUGGUUGCGCACGUGCACGCACAUGUGUGUGUAUGAAUAAGUGUGUGAGGAGGAAGCAUUAAGGGAGCAGGAGCAAGAGGAAUGUUAUGAGCUUAAGCUCGUGAGUUAAACAGCUGGCUUUGGCUUCCAGGUGCUACCAUUUGCUAGCCUGGUGACCUUGGGGAAGUGAUGUAUCCUCCCCAGGCCUCCUGCUCCCAUCUGUAAAUAGGUAACAAUAGGACUCAGCCCUCCGGGUUGUUGCGAGGGCCAAGGGAGUGAGUGUGCGUGUGCAGGGUCUGCAGAGCAGUGCGGGCACACAGCGGGUGUUCACUAUCAGCAGUUCCUGGUGCCUCCUCCUCACCUUGCUCAGAGCUGGGUGUGGACACACUUGCGAACGACCUGUUCUCCAAAUCUGAUCCCCACUCACUGACUCAGAGGCAGCCACUUGGAGUUAACCACCUCCUGCCCCACCCCCGGAGGCUCAGCUACAACUUGCAGCCCACAGAUCUGUCUAGCCAGACUGCUGCCAUCUUCUGCCCUUACUCAGUCCCCACUCCCCCACGCCAGCUGUUCGGGUGGGGAAGAAGUGAUCUCACACAGCAGGGGUUGCCUCAGCCCCGUGCCACCCUCCAGACAUAUGUCUGCAGCACCAGCUCCCUCGUAGCUGGCUGGGGAUGGAGUAGAGGGAUGGGGGAGCCUUUGGGGUGGAGCCCGGG